GACGAACGCUGGCGGCGUGCCUAACACAUGCAAGUCGUGCGAGAAAGUUCCUUCGGGAGCGAGUAAAGCGGCGCACGGGUGAGUAACACGUAGGUAACCUGCCCCCCAGUCUGGAACAACUAGAGGAAACUCUAGCUAAUGCCGGAUGAGACCACGAUCCCUUCGGGGGUUGCGGCCAAAGAUGGCCUCUACUUGUAAGCUAUCGCUGAGGGAUGGGCCUGCGGGCCAUUAGCUUGUUGGUGAGGUAACGGCUCACCAAGGCUGUGAUGGCUAGCUGGUCUGAGAGGAUGACCAGCCACACUGGGACUGAGACACGGCCCAGACUCCUACGGGAGGCAGCAGUGGGAAUAUUGCGCAAUGGGCGAAAGCCUGACGCAGCGACGCCGCGUGGGUGAUGAAGGCCUCGGUCGUAA
Molecule: ribosomal RNA, 413 nt
Filed under: uncultured bacterium
Lineage: Bacteria
Description: bacterial SSU rRNA
Rfam family: Bacterial small subunit ribosomal RNA
Source: RNAcentral